Molecule: ribosomal RNA, 864 nt
Filed under: uncultured bacterium
Lineage: Bacteria
Description: bacterial SSU rRNA
Rfam family: Bacterial small subunit ribosomal RNA
Source: RNAcentral
CCUGGCUCAGAUUGAACGCUGGCGGCAUGCCUUACACAUGCAAGUCGAACGGCAGCAUGAUCUAGCUUGCUAGAUUGAUGGCGAGUGGCGAACGGGUGAGUAAUACAUCGGAACGUGCCCUGUAGUGGGGGAUAACUAGUCGAAAGAUUAGCUAAUACCGCAUACGACCUGAGGGUGAAAGUGGGGGACCGCAAGGCCUCAUGCUAUAGGAGCGGCCGAUGUCUGAUUAGCUAGUUGGUGGGGUAAAGGCCCACCAAGGCGACGAUCAGUAGCUGGUCUGAGAGGACGAUCAGCCACACUGGGACUGAGACACGGCCCAGACUCCUACGGGAGGCAGCAGUGGGGAAUUUUGGACAAUGGGCGAAAGCCUGAUCCAGCAAUGCCGCGUGUGUGAAGAAGGCCUUCGGGUUGUAAAGCACUUUUGUCCGGAAAGAAAUGGCUCUGGUUAAUACCUGGGGUCGAUGACGGUACCGGAAGAAUAAGGACCGGCUAACUACGUGCCAGCAGCCGCGGUAAUACGUAGGGUCCAAGCGUUAAUCGGAAUUACUGGGCGUAAAGCGUGCGCAGGCGGUUGUGCAAGACCGAUGUGAAAUCCCCGAGCUUAACUUGGGAAUUGCAUUGGUGACUGCACGGCUAGAGUGUGUCAGAGGGGGGUAGAAUUCCACGUGUAGCAGUGAAAUGCGUAGAGAUGUGGAGGAAUACCGAUGGCGAAGGCAGCCCCCUGGGAUAACACUGACGCUCAUGCACGAAAGCGUGGGGAGCAAACAGGAUUAGAUACCCUGGUAGUCCACGCCCUAAACGAUGUCAACUAGUUGUUGGGGAUUCAUUUCCUUAGUAACGUAGCUAACGCGUGAAGUUGACCGC